RNAcentral lists this RNase P RNA (332 nucleotides) under Candidatus Fimenecus excrementigallinarum. Its description in RNAcentral is "Bacterial RNase P class A". It matches the Rfam family "Bacterial RNase P class A". From Rfam's summary of the family: Ribonuclease P (RNase P) is a ubiquitous endoribonuclease, found in archaea, bacteria and eukarya as well as chloroplasts and mitochondria. Its best characterised activity is the generation of mature 5'-ends of tRNAs by cleaving the 5'-leader elements of precursor-tRNAs. Lineage: Bacteria; Bacillati; Bacillota; Clostridia. The record is from RNAcentral.
GAGUAGGCUGAGCAGUUGCGCGCGCAGGCUUUGCGCGUGAGGAAAGUCCGAGCAUCACACAGCAGGGUAACGGCUAACAGCCGCCGAGGGCGACCUUAGGGAAAGUGCAUAGAGAGAUACCGCCGCACAUGGUGCGGUAAGGGUGGAAAGGCGAGGUAAGAGCUCACCGGCGUACCGGUAACGGUGCGGCCAAGUAAACCCUACCCGAUGCAACAUCGACCGAAGUUGUCAGCUGGGCAAAUCCUUCGACAGAUGGCUUCAGCGUACCGGCGACGGUGCGCGCAGAUAGAUAACUGCUUUCAACGACAGAACUCGGCUUACAGGCCUACUCA